Molecule: small RNA, 366 nt
Filed under: Drosophila ananassae
Lineage: Eukaryota; Metazoa; Arthropoda; Insecta; Diptera; Drosophilidae
Description: GF28192
Source: RNAcentral
CCAAAUAGUUUAUGUCAAUGAUAUACAAUAUAACAGUCUAUUGGAAUUAGACUGCAAAAAAUACCACGUGGUUUAAUCACAACUACUUUUUUUAACUCAGUAUUUAUCUCAAGGGGAACUCAGUACUUGGGGUUUGUGCUCUCGGGCGCUAGUUCGAUUUUAAAUAUGGGCUGUGCGACUUUUGCCCUGUAAACCAUGUGGUGGCCUAAUCAUUGGGUUGGCUAUGUCUGUGAUUUUUUUCAAAAGACGACCAUGGCCUGCAUUGCUUGGAACUGGAUUUGGUAUUGGUGUCGCAUAUAGAACAUGUGAAAAAGAAGUUAACUUGUUUAAGUAAUUGACAAAAAAUAAAUUUGUGUCGUUGAAAAA